Manis pentadactyla (Chinese pangolin) is the source of this 2799-nucleotide long non-coding RNA. RefSeq lists it as uncharacterized. The record is from RefSeq and is a predicted model, not a curated record. NCBI's taxonomy places the organism in Eukaryota, Metazoa, Chordata, Mammalia, Pholidota, Manidae. The transcript is spliced from 4 exons.
UGCUUCUGAUUAGUUUCAUUAGUCAUGGAGGAAGGGAGGAGGGUAUCAGCUCAGGGUAGGGGCAGGCAUCAGGCCGGAUCUCUGAGGGAGAGGGGACAGGAGCAGAGUUUAUUCCUGGGGAGACUGCCAGACAGAGGGCUGGGAGCACACAUUCCACUUCACACGGGUACAGCACCGUCAGCCUGGCCCAGGCCCUGCCAUAGGAGAUGACCAGGCAGGCCCAGAUCUGGGAGAAAAUCAAGCAGGAUGGGAUGGGGAAGGAGCCCACAGGGGACCAGGGCGUGGGGGCCUGUGCCUCACCUUUGACAUCGCCAUGCAGAAUCCUUCGGGUGUGGAGGUACUCCAGGCCUUCCAGAGCCUGGCCCAGGUAGUAAAGGGCCCGGUCUUCCGGGAGACAGCCCUUCUGCUUUAUGAGCUGGCCCAGCGAGCCACCUAGGAGACCAAUGGCCAGUCUUUACAUGUGGCUUUUCCAGGCCUCCAAGCAUGCCAGGGGCAAGGGACUUCACAGGGCAGGCGGUGGAAAGCAGGCCUUUUCUGCUGAUGUCACAGGGUCAAGAGGCUAAAAAUGGAUUGACUGGGGAUCUAGGCAAGACUUGGGGAAACCUUGGCCCAGAAUUUUGAGGGAGAAAGAGUGGCACCUGGCUUUUUACCUUCUAGUAGUUCCAUGAAGAUGUUGACCCAAGGACCUUCCUUCACAGCUCCAUACAAAGGGACGAUUCUGGGUGAGGUCAGUCCUGCGCAUGCCAUCAACUCCUCUGCCCGAAACACUUCUACUCGCACCUGGAAGGGCCCAGAGGUGGCUGCAAGUCAGGGUAGAUCACGUCCCCUAAGUGGUGUUUCCACAUGCAAAUGAUGGCGAUACUGGCAUCUGAUCCUGUGAGAGAGGACUUGGAGGGAUAACAACCAGCAACAGGCCUGGUGACCAGUGGGUGACUUUCUCCCUCCAGCUCAAAUAAGAACCACUUAUUAAACACCUGGACUUCCUACUAAAGACUUGUCCUCCUUUGGGGCUGUGGCUGAUUUUCCUGUUAGCUUGGAGAGGUACCACCAGUGGGCACCAGGGGGCACAAAAGCGGCCUCUUAUAAAUCAGUCAGGACUGGGCAGGGUUUUGUUGGGAGACCUGCUGACUCGGCAAACAGCAGCUCUGCCGAUGUGGCGCUUUGGGGCUAUUGGACUUUUGCCUGUCAGUGGGAAAUGUCUCUCUUCUGGUUACUUACAAAAUAUCUGGGUUGGUUAGUCAACUUAUAUCAAGUCUGACUCUGUCAGUGUUUCCAGCUCUGAACCUGAGUUGGAACUAACUCACCAACAGGAUUUGUGUUUGUACACGUCUUUGACCCUACUGCUUCUGAGCUGUGAGUUGAAAUGAAGCACCUUGGGAUGCUACAGGCAAUUUUACAUUGGAAAGAAAGAGCGAUGAUGGAUAUUUGCAGGAUGCUUUGUAAACUACUAGCAUAAGGUAGUUCUGUUUCAAUAUUAGAUCAUUAUGCAGUCUCUGAUGAUAUAUUUUUAUGUAAGUUUUGGAGGGUGUUGUGACAAAAAAGGUACUUCAGGGAAAAUGUGGAGCAGGAAAUGAAGGUGAAUGGUGUCCAGUCUGAUUUCAAAGUUCGAGAAGGUGGGCAGGCCAAUGAGGCAUACCUCCCAUUAGUAAUUAUGGUUGAGAACAGAAGAAAAAAUUUUCAACUUGAGUGUAUUGUUAUUCAAAUGGUGACUAAGUUGUUAGGAUAAAGACUUAUUUGACUUGAUUAUGUAAUAAAUGGAACUGUCAUGUACUUGUUUUGGCCUGGGGUGCCAUGAAAAAUUAAGAGCUGUAAACCAGGAAAGUUUGGGAAUCUCUGAUUUAACUUUUAAGAAAUCCUUCAAUCCUCCAGAGUGUCCCAGCGAUGUUAAAAACCUUCCCACUUACCCAGACCAGAGGGGAUCAGAGGGGCAGGGUGCUUUAGAAGAGUGUGCCAGCCCCCAGGAGAGCAAGCUGGAAGGGCAGUCCCGAGGGAGACAGGUGGUGAGAAAGCACCUGGGCCUUCUAGCCCACCUCUCCUCUCUGGACUUCAGUGUUCCCACCUGUAAAGUGAGGGGCUGAACUGUGCUGAAGAUGUUAACAAGAGCUAAUAUUUAAUGCCUACUUACAUGCCAGGCACUAUUCUAAGCACUUGAUAAGCAUUAGUUAUUUAUAACUUACAAUAUAGCCUAUGAGGUGGUAUUCUCAUUAUCUCUAUUUUACAGACAGAAGCUGAAGCCUGGACAAGCAAGCUGCCCAAGGUCACUGGGUAUAAAGUAUCAGAGCUGGGAUUGUGGUUGGGGAAGCCUGACUCCAGAGCUGCCGGCUACCCUGCCUCACCAAAGGCCAUUCCAGGUGUAUUAGCCUUUAAAUCCUAACGUUUUUACAGACACCCAGGAGUGAGCACACCUGGAUGGAAGUGUGCUCAGCAAUCACCUAAUUGCCAAAGCCACAAGCCACGAGCCACCUCUCUCUGCCUAAUGAUUUUCCAGCUGAUAAUCCCGAAGGACACUACUGCCUGCCAGACCCUCUCCACGUGAAAGAAGCCAUCCCCACUAGACUGCGCUGGAGGAGGCGGAGGUCUAAGCGGUGGCUCCGGUGGGCUCGAGCAGCUGCUCUGGCUCUCAGGGGUCUGUGUGCUUGGAGGUUUUCUGACUGGCUUGGGAGGGGUCCUGAGCCUCACCUGUGCGCAGCUGCCCUUGCACAAGGACUGCACCUGCCUGCAGACCCAGCCGCCCGCCCACCCUGCCACCAGCCCUGAUCCGGGCCCCUUACAUUCAGCCUGGGCAAUGAUGGAGAUGGC